RNAcentral lists this ribosomal RNA (277 nucleotides) under Pseudomonas sp. Cementerio-03. RNAcentral's name for it is "partial 16S ribosomal RNA". It matches the Rfam family "Bacterial small subunit ribosomal RNA", at positions 83 to 357 of the family's 1533-position model. The record is from RNAcentral. Lineage: Bacteria; Pseudomonadati; Pseudomonadota; Gammaproteobacteria; Pseudomonadales; Pseudomonadaceae.
GCUCCUGGAUUCACGGCGGUCGGGUGAUCAAUGCCUAAGUAAUCUGCCUGGUGAUGGGGGAUAACGUCCGGAAACGGGCGCUAAUACCGCAUACGUCCUGAGGGAGAAAGUGGGGGAUCUUCGGACCUCACGCUAUCAGAUAGAGCCUAGGUCGGAUUAGCUUAGUUGGUGGGGUAAAGGCCUACCAAGGCGACGAUCCGUAACUGGUCUGAGAGGAUGAUCAAGUCACACUGGGAACUGAGACACGGUCCAGACUCCUACGGGAAGGCAGCAGUGG